CAGAUUGCUGAGAGCCAGAAAUAAUGAAAGGAGAGCAUAAACCCACUUGGGACUUUCCCAAAGCCUCCUGUGGUUAAGCUGUGUGAAAGAUCUGACUGGAAAGAAGAAAGUACCUAAUUGAUCUGAGACAUAAGAGCCUUAAUCCAGUAGCUGAUGGAAGCAGAAGAAGACAACCACAGCUAAACACUGAGCUAAACUCUGGAAACCAGUUGAAGAGUAGGAGUGAUGAGCAAAGUGGUCAAGACCAGACUGGAGAAACACACAGAAACAGCUGACCUGAACAAGAGGGAGCUCAUGGACCCCACACUGAUAGCUGGG
Molecule: long non-coding RNA, 318 nt
Filed under: Cricetulus griseus (Chinese hamster)
Lineage: Eukaryota; Metazoa; Chordata; Mammalia; Rodentia; Cricetidae
Description: lncRNA (ENSCGRG00015040554.1)
Source: RNAcentral